This 1402-nucleotide long non-coding RNA is filed under the name Lactuca sativa (garden lettuce). RNAcentral describes it as "long non-coding RNA (LSAT_LNC002217)". The record is from RNAcentral. Lineage: Eukaryota; Viridiplantae; Streptophyta; Magnoliopsida; Asterales; Asteraceae.
UUUUAUCUUUCUUUUUUCACUAUCUCUCCACAUCUUUUUCUUCCUCACAUUUCACCUACAAUUUCGAGAUGAAAAAAAAACAUACCAGAUCCAUCAUCGGCUACCUCCGGCCACCUCAUGUAUCGCUAACAUUUGUCGUCCACUCAGACCGCACCUAAAACCAGGUACCCCCUCUCUCACUCUAGAUUUUUAGGCAUGAACAUAAACAAGUCUACAACACAAAAUAAAUCCAUAUUAAAAUUCAAGGAGAGAAAGAUAUAUUAUAUUACUACUCUCUUGUAUUCCAGAAAACAAAUUCACAUAACCCAAAGAUUGAAACUAAAUCAAAAACUAGAAAGGGUUUUCAACAUACGAAAUCAUAUAAAUCACUUCUGGUUCUAAGUACCAAAUCCUCUUCUAUAAUCUCCCUAUUCUCAACCCUAUUCCAUGGAACCCACACAUCAGCUUGUCUCCCCAAUGCUUUGUCCCAAUCACCAAACCACCCUCCCUAAAUUUGAAUCUCCAGUCCUUCUUAACAUUUCCAAGAAAUUAGAAUCAUCAGAAACUAACACUAACUAAUCAAUUCAUUUACUCAUGGAAUGGUUCAUCUGUCUCUUCAAUGCCCAAUACACCGUUUGAGGCUUAUCCCCCGCCGUCUUCACAAAAACCUUCGCCCUUCUAAGUUUUGCUUCCAACUAAUACCCAGUUUUGGGCGUAACUAGGGUUCUAGAAGCUUCCAUGUACGUGUGAUUUCCGGUGAUAAACCUCUCCUUGAAUCGUUGUCGUUUCUUUCCCUUCAAGGAUUUCAUUAUGUUAACCUUAUUCUCUCUUUCUUUCAUGUGUAAUUGUUUGAAUUGUUUCUUUUGGUAAGGUAGAACAGAGAUAGAGGUGGUACAGAGGGUGGAGAGGAGAAAAACUCGGUUGCUAUCGUCGGCGGAGACAAGGAUGACGGUAAAAGCUUUGUCUUGUCAGAAAGAGUAACACUCUGUUCCCGAGUGUCACUUAAUGACGGAAGUGGAGAGAAAGUGAGGGAAUCAGAUAGAAAGAGUAAGCCAUCGUGUUCCCAAUUUUUUUUUUGGAAUGAUUUGGGAAUAAAAGAAAGGAAAUCAGAUGAUAAUCUUCCUCAGAAAUUGGAAAGAUUUGGAGAGAAGAGAAUCUUUGAUAAGGAUAACAACACACAGUUUACCAAUUUAUCCUUAUUAACCCUAUAUAGGAUCAUGUAUCAUACACAACACAUAAAAAUAUUUCUUCAACCUCUGGUCCUGCUGUCGGCUUCCAUCAUCCAUCAUCCAUCAUAUAUUUCAUUAUCCUCUCCACUGCAUUAUAUUCUUUUUUUUGUUAUAGUAUGAAUCGAUUAUAUAGAAUCGUGUAUAAUAUGAAUCAAUUAUAUGGUUUCAUUAUUCUUUUUGUCCCUUGUUAAACU